Oncorhynchus gorbuscha (pink salmon) is the source of this 1162-nucleotide long non-coding RNA. RefSeq lists it as uncharacterized. NCBI's taxonomy places the organism in Eukaryota, Metazoa, Chordata, Actinopteri, Salmoniformes, Salmonidae. The transcript is spliced from 3 exons. The record is from RefSeq and is a predicted model, not a curated record.
CAAAUUACUUAAAGAUUCUAACUUGUUGGAUCUGAGAAGGGUCUCUCCGUUAUACUGUUUAACUAUUGAACAGCUGUUCUCUCGCCUGUGGCCUUGGUGCUUGUAUACUGACGCGAUUACACCCAGGGCCAGUCUUCGGAUCUGCAACUCUCGGUUGAGCUCAGUACCUAGCCCUAGUUACACGGCACGGACACUGCGGUAGUUCAACGGCUCUGAGAGUCUCUCUAGUCCUUAAGUUGAUCUCCUGUCAAUACCUACGGUUAUCUGAAUUGACCCUGUCGCCCGCGGCCUUGGUGCUUGUAUACUGACGCGAUUACACCCAGGGCCAGUCUUCGGAUCUGCAACUCUCGGUUGAGCUCAGUACCUAGCCCUAGUCGUGUGACGCAGACUUUUCGAUAUUCCAGUGGGGCAGGGAAUCACCAGCGGGUUCUCUCAUUCAGUCCAAACUUGAAUCUCUCAAUUUAGCAAACCGCCGACUUCAAGUCAACCUUUCAGCCAGUAGAGGGAAGUCGCUACUAACUAAAUUCUAAAAGAACUCUGACCGAUUGAAACUCUGCUCCUGAUCUUGUGGGUCUCCUCGUCAUCUCUCAAAGGUGUGGCUCACGCAUAUUUAAUGACGUUUUGGCGGGAAAGCAGCACAUGUUCAGUGAUGCCCCUCCCCCUUUCCACACUCCAGGCAGACUUUCCUUGGCUGCCACCCUCAUCACCUACUGAUGGAGCUGUGAAGCUGAACCAGUAAAGGGUUAAAAGAGGGCGGGAUGGAGGGAGGGGACAGAGAGAGAGGAAGUACGAGGGGGUUGGUGGAAAAGACUGGUGACUCUCCUGCUUCUCUGACUUGGAGUGAGCUCACCCACUUCACAUAAAGGCACACACACACACACAACCUUUCCUCUAUCUUUAUUGGCUCUACACUGGAGGCAACACACUGCUAUUUUAACAACCGGCUUCCUAAAACACACCACAUAAAUAAAUUAUAAUUGAAAUCAUGACACCCCGGUGCACAUCUAUUCUAGGAAACCCCAGAUAAGGUACGCCUCAAAGGGUACCCUAUUCCCUACAAAGUGCACUAACUUUGACCAGAGCCCUAUGGGGUAGUGCACUAACUUUGACCAGAGCCCUAUGGGGUAGUGCACUAACUUUGACCAGAGCCCUAUGGGGUAGU